UAAGGAAUAUUGGACAAUGGUGGCAACACUGAUCCAGCCAUGCCGCGUGCAGGAUGACGGCCCUAUGGGUUGUAAACUGCUUUUGUACGGGAAAAAACCCUCGUUCGUGAACGAGGCUGAUGGUACCGUAAGAAUAAGGAUCGGCUAACUCCGUGCCAGCAGCCGCGGUAAUACGGAGGAUCCAAGCGUUAUCCGGAUUUAUUGGGUUUAAAGGGUGCGUAGGCGGAUUAAUAAGUCAGUGGUGAAAGCCUACAGCUUAACUGUAGAAUUGCCAUUGAUACUGUUAGUCUUGAGUAUAUUUGAAGUGGGCGGAAUGUGCAGUGUAGCGGUGAAAUGCUUAGAUAUUGCACAGAACACCGAUUGCGAAGGCAGCUCACUAAACUAUAACUGACGCUGAGGCACGAAAGUAUGGGGAUCAAACA
This 422-nucleotide ribosomal RNA is filed under the name uncultured bacterium. RNAcentral describes it as "bacterial SSU rRNA". It matches the Rfam family "Bacterial small subunit ribosomal RNA", at positions 355 to 774 of the family's 1533-position model. The record is from RNAcentral.